AGUCGAGCGCCCAGCAAUGGGAGCGGCAGACGGGUGAGUAACACGUGGGGAUCUACCCAAUGGUACGGAAUAACCCAGGGAAACUUGGACUAAUACCGUAUGUGCCCUUCGGGGGAAAGAUUUAUCGCCAUUGGAUGAACCCGCGUCGGAUUAGCUAGUUGGUGAGGUAAAGGCUCACCAAGGCGACGAUCCGUAGCUGGUCUGAGAGGAUGAUCAGCCACACUGGGACUGAGACACGGCCCAGACUCCUACGGGAGGCAGCAGUGGGGAAUAUUGGACAAUGGGCGCAAGCCUGAUCCAGCCAUGCCGCGUGUGUGAUGAAGGCCUUAGGGUUGUAAAGCACUUUCGCCGGUGAAGAUAAUGACGGUAACCGGAGAAGAAGCCCCGGCU
Molecule: ribosomal RNA, 390 nt
Filed under: Xanthobacter autotrophicus
Lineage: Bacteria; Pseudomonadati; Pseudomonadota; Alphaproteobacteria; Hyphomicrobiales; Xanthobacteraceae
Description: bacterial SSU rRNA
Rfam family: Bacterial small subunit ribosomal RNA
Source: RNAcentral